RNAcentral lists this long non-coding RNA (1531 nucleotides) under Pan paniscus (pygmy chimpanzee). RNAcentral's name for it is "lncRNA (ENSPPAG00000045569.1)". Lineage: Eukaryota; Metazoa; Chordata; Mammalia; Primates; Hominidae. The record is from RNAcentral.
CAGAUGGGUUGCCACCCACACAGUCCUUGAGAUUCUACCUGGCCACUCUUGCCUUAUAUCUUGUUAUCUGAGUCUUUGCUCACAUUUUUCUUCAUGAAAUAUUUUUCGUAUAUUUUCUGCCUGGCCAAAUCCUGUUGAUCCUUCAAAACUGAUAUAAAAUAUCACUUUCUGGGAAGGCUUCCUGACCCCAACUCUUCAACAUGAUUUUGAGAUUGCGUUGCACACACAAAUACUCCAUGUAUAGCAAGAAAAACUAACACGUUCAGUUUGGAGACUAUACAAUUUCCAAGGGAAAGAUGAUAAUGAAUUUUAUUAGGGCAGUGGCAGAAAUACUGGAAAUAACUGUAUCAAUUUAAGAUAUAAUUUAUAUAUGUCAAGCCAAGCUGGCACAACUUGGUUGGGGAUCAAAUAUGUGGGUGAAGGAAAAGAGAUAUCUAUUGAGUUUUUUAAGUGGUGACUUAACUGAUUUUUAAACCUCUCUUUUCUUUAAUGCACUAGAAAAAUAGAAUAUAAAAACUUCUCUACUCCUGACUCACCAACGCACCAGAACAACUUUUAGUCCUGCAAUCAUGCAUUGAUUGAACAUCUUCUACAUAUUAUCACCACCCUAGACACUACAACAACAAAGAAGGCUGGUCUUGGCAUUCAAAGCCUCAGAUUCCUCAGGACAGAUUUCCAGGCAGCUGUCACCAAGGGAUUGAAAUUGGCCUGCAAAAUGAUACCUGUUUUCUCUCCCAGCUCUAAGGAGACUUACUGACAGCUGGCAAAUAUCAAGAAAUUCACCUAUCUUGAUCUCAAUAUAAGGUGAUGUAAGUGAUCAUGGAAAAAAUCCCUGUGGUAAUUCUGUGAUUAUCAGUAAUCAAAAUGUUAGAAUGACUCUAAAGGAAAAGAUAGUAAUCUGGAUGGCUCAACACUUGAGGGAAAUGAGUGACAUAAGGUUUUUUUUUUAAAUGUAUAAGGAAGACUCCAUCUUCAUCCUAAUUGACUUUGUGUAUAAUUACCCCAUAUCCAUUUUGAAUAUUGUCAAGUAGGACCCCAAGAGAAAGAAAGAAAGAUAGGCGUUUGGUUUUCCCUCAGAAAGUGUUCAGUCUGAGGGAGAGUUAUGUUGUUGAGCUAAGGAAGCAUACAGAAUCAUCAAGCAAUUGAGUGAGAGUACAAACCCAGGACAGAGAAAUCACAAUUUUGUCUGUCAGAUAAGCUGGGAAAUAACACGGUAUAGUAUAGUCACUUAACUGUUUUAGUUCGGUGUUUCCCAAAUCUCACUUAUUCUUAAACCAUCUUUACAGUUUUUUAGCCAUUUCCACAUACUACUGGUAUAAUUAUUUAAAUGAUAUUUAAAAAUCAACUUGUUGACUUUUAAAUAAUCUUUUUAUUUUAGAGUAUUUUUUUGUCUUAAAGAAAAAUUGUGAAGAUAGUACAGAGAGUUCCUACAUACCUCACACUCAAUUUUUCUUAUUAUUAACAUCUGGUGUCAGGAGAGUACCUUUACCAUGAUUAAUGACUCAAGACUGAUACAUUAUUAUCAACUAAA